Long non-coding RNA from Equus caballus (horse), 3047 nucleotides. RefSeq lists it as uncharacterized. The record is from RefSeq and is a predicted model, not a curated record. Lineage: Eukaryota; Metazoa; Chordata; Mammalia; Perissodactyla; Equidae.
GAGCCAUCUGCAACGAGGACAGAGGAGAAGGCAAGUUAAAACUCUCUUCAGACAAACGCAGCUCUAUGCCUGGUGGAGCCCCUGUAAGCGUCCUGUCCCUGGAGAGCAGCCGCACGCCCGCUGGCCCCAAGGGCUCUAGCUGUUUUCCAGGUGAGGAGCAGCCUGUCUGCUCUCAGAGGCGGCAGUCACUGCCUGCCCAUGGCCUCUCCUGACAGGACGGCCUCAGACUCACAGAGGCUGCAAGCAAGCGCCCCGUUUCCUGGAAUGCCCGCCACCCGCUUUGGGACUACUGGCCAUGGGGGGCAAAGGCCAAUGAGCGUGCUGAGGCCUGACUCUGCGAGAGGCUGGAAGAUGCCGCCUGUUCACACAGCUUCCUCGUGGGCACUCCCGGGCUAGCAAGCUGGGCCCCCUGGUUUUUAAUAGGCCUCUAAGGUUUUAACACCUGAUUCUCAAGGGAAGCAGGAAACACAGGAAUUGUUAGUUCUGCUAAACACAGCUCCAAGGCAUUCAUAGCCGUUGGUGUCCAGAAGUAUAUUCCGUGUCAGGGGUUAAAUUCAUUUUGAGUUCAGCAACUACCCGAACUCUCUACUUCAGAUUCUUGCUAACUUUUGGCUCUUUUUGCUGUGGUCCAACAGAGCACAGAAGGAGAGGGAGCAGCAUGGCCCCAGGACAGGGCAGGACAGGAGAGGGCGAGCCUCGGGGGAGGAACCCGGAUGCCCAACGGGCUGCUGGCGCCUCGUCCUCAUCAAGAGCCCGGUGUGAGGACGUGAACCCAGAGCUGGAGGGGCAGAGAGCCAGCAGCCAGAGGAGCAGGGCACGGCAAGGGGCAGGGGCGCUGAGGACGCAGCCUGCCCUCCGCAGAGGCCGGGCGGGGGCUCCUCGGUGAGGCCAGCUCGGGGAGCAGGAGAGCCGCGAGGAGCCUGGCUGGCACACGCUCUCCGGAGCAGACGCGGAGACAAGAGGGGCGAGGCGAGUGCCAGGCCUGGAGCUGGCUUUGCUCAGGCCUCUCUGAGGACACAUCAGAGCCUGGCCAGGGCUAGGGUCCUGAGGGUGGUGAAGCCAAGGCUGCUGAAGAGAAAGGCUGUCCCCCCAAAGCCAAGACCCCCAUCAUCUAGCCCCCCUGCCCCCAGGCCACGCAGACCUGGCCUGGAGCUUUCAGGAUGCGCACAGAGGAGCUGAGGAGAAGCGGGAGGCGAGGGCAGUCCACAGAGGCAGCACGGUCAGAGGCGUCCUCCCACCCAUCCUGUGUAUCGCUGCCCUGGCCGAGUUGCCUUCAACCUGUCCUCUGGCCACUGCAGGAAGCUUCGAGCCAGGACGGCUGGUAUGUCAGUGAACACAGUUUCAGAACACCUGCAAGGACAGCAUCCAGGAGGCGCUCUCGGCCCCGGUGGGCUCCAGGGUGCCCAGCCGGCCAGCACCUGCCAAGGAGGCUACGUGAAGGGAAAGAUGGUGUUCUAGCCUUUGAUGAAUGUUUUGCGGCUGGGCUGACUUGUGACACUGAAUGGAGCGGCACGGGCGUCUUCCACGCUCCCUCUGGCGUGUGGCUGGGAUUGCACGAUUCUGCAGGCAUGGGCCACCUGGCACGGGUGGCAAGCCUCAACUUUGUGACGCGCUCUAGCUCCCUAUUCCCGGCAGCUUCUCCGUGGGCGAGACUGCAGGGCGGUCCACUGUGAAUGUGGACCGCUUCCCUGGGCUGGGCGGGACGGUCGCUGGAAUCACCGAAGCAGGCACCUGGUGACUCCGAGGAGCGCGCUCUGGGUUCUGUUCUCUCACGCGCCAUGGGCAGGGCUGGGCUGCCACCACACCCUGACCCUGAGCAAGUAGGUCCAGCCGUGGGCCUGCUUCCCUGUCCCAGGGUGACAGGACGGAGAGGAGCAGGCCGAGAGCUCACGAGGGAGAAGGAGGGUGUGGGCUCCCCUAGGGCUGAGGUUCCACGCACAGGUGACCAGGGGAUGGGUGGGAGGUCAGAGGUCAGGUGACAAAAAUGCUGCCAAAGCUUUCAUGAUUCAAAAAUGCCUGCUGUUGACUUUUCAUAAUAACUUUUAAUUUUGGAACAGUUUUAGAUUUAGAAUUUUACCAAAAAGGUAAUAAAGAGAGAGCCCAUAUCCCUCACAGAGUUCUCCUGUUAUUAACAUCUUAUGUUAGUAUGGUACAUUUGUCACAAUGAAUGAACCAAUAUUGAUACCUUUUUAUUAACUCAAAACCAGACUUUUUUCUGACCUCUCAGUGUUGCUCUGACGUCCUUUCUCUGUCCCAGGACCCCGUCCGGGACCCCACGUGACACAGCUGUCAUGUCUCCUCAGGCUCCUCUGGGCUGUGACAGUUUUCGGAUGGUUUUUGAUGACUUGGACAGUUUUGAGGAGAGCUGGUCAGGAUGGGGUUGUAGGCUUUGAGGAGGAAGACUACAGAGGUAAAGUGCCAUUUUCAUCGCAUCGUAUCCAGGGCACCACUGCCAACAUGACGUCCCUGCUGCUGUUGACCUUGAUCACCUGGCUGAGGAGAAAGUUGAUACGAAGUUCUGUGGACAUACGGGCAUUUCUCAGCUCUCACCUAUGGAGUUCUCCCAUCCCACAGGGGCUGGGAGUGUGCUUCACACAAGUAUACAACAGACCGCUGUGCUGGGAUGGGCCCUGAGGAGACGGCCCCCAGCAUGUGACAGGCGAGUCCUCUUCUGCUCUUGGCCACGCCCGGGCUCGCGGGAGGUGUUCUGUCCGAGCCUGAGAGGCGGCACUGACGGGCGGCUGCCUGGCCUGCCUGCUCCACGCCCACACUUCCACCAGGACUGGGGAGGACCUCCUGGGCGCUGGUGUCUGCCGUUCUUGGCAGUCCCAUGUGUCACUGGGACUUUCCUCAUAUUCACGUUCAAACAGAACCUACCCUGGAAAGGAAGAGGAGGGGCCCUCUGGGGGCUGGAAACAUUCCUUUCUUGAUUUGGUGGCUGGUUUCAGGGAUGUUUCUGGUUGGUGAAAAUUCAAGCUGUACAUUUUCUGUAUGUAUAUUAUACGUCAAUACAAAGUGAGCCAAAACAGAAACAAAAACUCUAAGAA